Molecule: transfer RNA, 78 nt
Filed under: Caudoviricetes sp.
Lineage: Duplodnaviria; Heunggongvirae; Uroviricota; Caudoviricetes
Description: tRNA-Leu
Rfam family: tRNA
About the family: Transfer RNA (tRNA) molecules are approximately 80 nucleotides in length. Their secondary structure includes four short double-helical elements and three loops (D, anti-codon, and T loops). Further hydrogen bonds mediate the characteristic L-shaped molecular structure. tRNAs have two regions of fundamental functional importance: the anti-codon, which is responsible for specific mRNA codon recognition, and the 3' end, to which the tRNAs corresponding amino acid is attached (by aminoacyl-tRNA synthetases). tRNAs cope with the degeneracy of the genetic code in two manners: having more than one tRNA (with a specific anti-codon) for a particular amino acid; and 'wobble' base-pairing, i.e. permitting non-standard base-pairing at the 3rd anti-codon position.
Source: RNAcentral
GGUCAAGUGAUGGAAUUUGGUAUACAUACCACACUCAAAAUGUGGGUUCUAAGAGUUCGAGUCUCUUCUUGACUACCA